GGUUUGACGGUACCUAUAAAGGAAGCACCGGCUAACUCCGUGCCAGCAGCCGCGGUAAUACGGGGGGUGCAAGCGUUGUUCGGAAUUAUUGGGCGUAAAGCGCGUGUAGGCGGUCUGAUUAGUCUGAUGUGAAAGCCCUGGGCUCAACCCAGGAAGUGCAUUGGAUACUGUCAGACUUGAAUACGGGAGAGGGUAGUGGAAUUCCUAGUGUAGGAGUGAAAUCCGUAGAUAUUAGGAGGAACACCGGUGGCGAAGGCGGCUACCUGGACCGAUAUUGACGCUGAGACGCGAAAGCGUGGGUAGCAAACAGGAUUAGAUACCCUGGUAGUCCACGCCGUAAACGAUGAGAACUAGGUGUUGCGGGUA
This 366-nucleotide ribosomal RNA is filed under the name uncultured Geobacteraceae bacterium. Its description in RNAcentral is "bacterial SSU rRNA". It matches the Rfam family "Bacterial small subunit ribosomal RNA", at positions 466 to 831 of the family's 1533-position model. Lineage: Bacteria; Pseudomonadati; Thermodesulfobacteriota; Desulfuromonadia; Geobacterales; Geobacteraceae. The record is from RNAcentral.